GACGAACGCUGGCGGCGUGCCUAAUACAUGCAAGUCGAACGCAAGGAUACACACUGUGCUUGCACAGCGUGUUAGCUUGAGUCGCGAACGGGUUAGUAACGCGUAGGCAACUUGCCUAGGAGCGGGGGAGAACAAGUUGAAACGAUAGCUAAUACUGCAUAAUAUUAAAUGUUGCAGGCUAAUUGAUUGAAAGAUGCAAGCGCAUCACUAGUAGAUGGACCUGCGUUGUAUUGGCUAGUUGGAAAGGUAAGAGCAUACCAAGGGGACGAGACAUAGCCGACUCUGAAGGGUGCUCCGCCCCACUGGGGCUGGAGCACGGCCCAGGCUCCUUCGGGAGGCAGCCGGAGGGGAUUUUUGGCAAUGGACGAAAGGCUGAACCAGCAACGCCGCGUGAGUGAAGGAGGGUUUCGGGUCGUAAAAGUCCGUUGUGCGUCAAGGACGUCUCUCCGUGUGAAAAGUGCAGACAGUGACGGUAGCUGAACAAAAAGCGCCGGCUAACUACGUG
RNAcentral lists this ribosomal RNA (505 nucleotides) under uncultured bacterium. RNAcentral describes it as "partial 16S ribosomal RNA". It matches the Rfam family "Bacterial small subunit ribosomal RNA", at positions 28 to 507 of the family's 1533-position model. The record is from RNAcentral.